GGUCAAGUUUUUAAGAGCACAUGGUGGAUGCCUUGGCAGUAGGAGCCGAAGAAGGACGUUGUAGCCUGCGAUAAGCCUCGGGGAGCUGGCAAACAAGCUGUGAUCCGAGGAUGUCCGAAUGGGGAAACCCCGCUGGAGUCAUGUCCAGUGACCCACGCCUGAACACAUAGGGCGUGUGGAGGGAACGUCGGGAAGUGAAACAUCUCAGUACCGACAGGAAGAGAUAUUCCGUGAGUAGUGGCGAGCGAAAGCGGAUGAGGCCAAACCGUAUGCGUGUGAUACCCGGCAGGGGUUGCGUGUGCGGGGUUGUGGGACCUUUCGGACUGUUCUGCCGGACAGUCGAGGAGUCAGAAAUCCGUGUGAUAGGCGAAGGGCAUUGAAAGGCCCGGCGUAGAGGGUGCGACCCCCGUAGCCGAAAUCAUGCGGACUCCUGAGAGUCAUCCCAAGUAGCACGGGGCCCGAGAAAUCCCGUGUGAAUCUGCAGAGACCACUCUGUAAGCCUAAAUACUACCUACUGACCGAUAGCGAAUCAGUACCGUGAGGGAAGGGUGAAAAGUACCCCGAGAGGGGAGUGAAAUAGUACCUGAAACCGUGUGCUUACAAUCCGUCGGAGCCUCCUUAGCUGGGGUGACGGCGUGCCUUUUGAAGAAUGAGCCUGCGAGUUAGUGCUCAGUGGCAAGGUUAACCCGUGUGGGGCAGCCGUAGCGAAAGCGAGUCCGAACAGGGCGUUUGAGUCGCUGGGUCUAGACCCGAAGCGAAGUGAUCUAUCCAUGGCCAGGCUGAAGCGCGGGUAAGACCGCGUGGAGGGCCGAACCCACUUGGGUUGAAAACCGAGGGGAUGAGCUGUGGAUAGGGGUGAAAGGCCAAUCAAACUUCGUGAUAGCUGGUUCUCCCCGAAAUGCAUUUAGGUGCAGCGUUGCGUGUUUCUUGCCGGAGGUAGAGCUACUGGAUGGCCGAUGGGCCCCACCAGGUUACUGACGUCAGCCAAACUCCGAAUGCCGGUAAGUGAGAGCGCAGCAGUGAGACUGCGGGGGAUAAGCUUCGUAGUCGAGAGGGAAACAGCCCAGAACACCAACUAAGGCCCCUAAGCGUGUGCUAAGUGGGAAAGGAUGUGGAGUUGCAUAGACAACCAGGAGGUUGGCUUAGAAGCAGCCACCCUUGAAAGAGUGCGUAAUAGCUCACUGGUCAAGUGAUUCCGCGCCGACAAUGUAGCGGGGCUCAAGUACACCGCCGAAGUUGUGUCAUUCACAUAUGUGCUAGGCCUUCGUGGUCCAGGCGUGUGGAUGGGUAGGGGAGCGUCGUGUGGCGGGUGAAGUCGCGGGGUAACCCAGCGGUGGACGCCACACGAGUGAGAAUGCAGGCAUGAGUAGCGAAAGACGGGUGAGAAACCCGUCCGCCGAAUGACCAAGGGUUCCAGGGCCAGGUUAAUCCGCCCUGGGUAAGUCGGGACCUAAGGCGAGGCCGACAGGCGUAGUCGAUGGACAACGGGUUGAUAUUCCCGUACCGGCGAAGAACCGCCCAUGACGAGGCGGACGAUGCUAAGUGCCCAAAGCCGGCGAACCCUUCGGGGGGAGCUCGGUGGCGCGCACGAACCAGAUCCGUAGUAGUCAAGCGUAUUAACAGGGGUGACGCAGGAAGGUAGCCGAGCGUGGCGAUGGUAGUCCACGUCUAAGGGUGUAGGCCGAACCGUAGGCAAAUCCGCGGUUCACA
RNAcentral lists this ribosomal RNA (1710 nucleotides) under Demequina litoralis. RNAcentral's name for it is "partial 23S ribosomal RNA". It matches the Rfam family "Bacterial large subunit ribosomal RNA", at positions 1 to 1553 of the family's 2925-position model. Lineage: Bacteria; Bacillati; Actinomycetota; Actinomycetes; Micrococcales; Demequinaceae. The record is from RNAcentral.